RNAcentral lists this ribosomal RNA (910 nucleotides) under uncultured Bacteroidota bacterium. RNAcentral describes it as "bacterial SSU rRNA". It matches the Rfam family "Bacterial small subunit ribosomal RNA", at positions 14 to 916 of the family's 1533-position model. The record is from RNAcentral. Lineage: Bacteria; Pseudomonadati; Bacteroidota.
UGAUUAUGGCUCAGGAUGAACGCUAGCUACAGGCUUAACACAUGCAAGUCGAGGGGCAGCAUGGUCUUAGCUUGCUAAGGCCGAUGGCGACCGGCGCACGGGUGAGUAACACGUAUCCAACCUGCCGUCUACUCUUGGACAGCCUUCUGAAAGGAAGAUUAAUACAAGAUGGCAUCAUGAGUCCGCAUGUUCACAUGAUUAAAGGUAUUCCGGUAGACGAUGGGGAUGCGUUCCAUUAGAUAGUAGGCGGGGUAACGGCCCACCUAGUCUUCGAUGGAUAGGGGUUCUGAGAGGAAGGUCCCCCACAUUGGAACUGAGACACGGUCCAAACUCCUACGGGAGGCAGCAGUGAGGAAUAUUGGUCAAUGGGCGAGAGCCUGAACCAGCCAAGUAGCGUGAAGGAUGACUGCCCUAUGGGUUGUAAACUUCUUUUAUAAAGGAAUAAAGUCGGGUAUGGAUACCCGUUUGCAUGUACUUUAUGAAUAAGGAUCGGCUAACUCCGUGCCAGCAGCCGCGGUAAUACGGAGGAUCCGAGCGUUAUCCGGAUUUAUUGGGUUUAAAGGGAGCGUAGAUGGAUGUUUAAGUCAGUUGUGAAUGUUUGCGGCUCAACCGUAAAAUUGCAGUUGAUACUGGAUAUCUUGAGUGCAGUUGAGGCAGGCGGAAUUCGUGGUGUAGCGGUGAAAUGCUUAGAUAUCACGAAGAACUCCGAUUGCGAAGGCAGCCUGCUAAGCUGCAACUGACAUUGAGGCUCGAAAGUGUGGGUAUCAAACAGGAUUAGAUACCCUGGUAGUCCACACGGUAAACGAUGAAUACUCGCUGUUUGCGAUAUACGGCAAGCGGCCAAGCGAAAGCGUUAAGUAUUCCACCUGGGGAGUACGCCGGCAACGGUGCAACUCAAAGGAAUUGACGG